Non-coding RNA from Myotis davidii, 146 nucleotides. Lineage: Eukaryota; Metazoa; Chordata; Mammalia; Chiroptera; Vespertilionidae. The record is from Rfam.
UACCCCCUGGCAAUGGGCAAGGAGACUCCUGAUUGGUGGUGUUGCUCUUAUGUCAGUGAGGGUUGAAGCAGAUGUACAGUCCCUAAUUCAUCCUAGCCUGAUGCCUGGGUUGGUAACCAGAGCUGUUUCAUGCCUGGGGCACAUAA